CCCAGACUCCUACGGGAGGCAGCAGUGGGGAAUAUUGCACAAUGGGGGGAACCCUGAUGCAGCGACGCCGCGUGGGCGAGGAAGUAUUUCGGUAUGUAAAGCCCUAUCGGCAGGGAAGAAGAAAUGACGGUACCUGAAUAAGAAGCACCGGCUAAAUACGUGCCAGCAGCCGCGGGAAUAAGUAUGGUGCAAGCGUUAUCCGGAUUUACUGAGCGUAAAGGGAGCGCAGGCGGCGCGCCAAGUCUGAUGUGAAACCCCGGGGCUCAACCCCGGGCAUGCAUUGGAAACUGGCGGGCUGGAGUGCCGGAGAGGUAAGCGGAAUUCCUAGUGUAGCGGUGAAAUGCGUAGAUAUUAGGAGGAACACCAGUGGCGAAGGCGGCCUACUGGACGGUGACUGACGCUGAGGCUCGAAAGCGUGGGGAGCAAACAGGAUUAGAUACCCCUGUA
This 447-nucleotide ribosomal RNA is filed under the name uncultured bacterium. Its description in RNAcentral is "partial 16S ribosomal RNA". It matches the Rfam family "Bacterial small subunit ribosomal RNA", at positions 330 to 792 of the family's 1533-position model. The record is from RNAcentral.